Molecule: long non-coding RNA, 392 nt
Filed under: Citrus maxima (pomelo)
Lineage: Eukaryota; Viridiplantae; Streptophyta; Magnoliopsida; Sapindales; Rutaceae
Description: long non-coding RNA (CMAX_LNC004315)
Source: RNAcentral
GCACUUUUUCGCAUUGCAUACGGCUCGCCAAUGGAAUUUGCUUUUUACCCUUCAUCAAACAAGGAUAAAAAGGGGGUUCUAUUAUACCCAGAUGGGUAAAUGAUCCAAUUACCACCCUUCUUUUUUUUUGAGGAGUUCAAAAAUACUAUGAUGGCUCCGUUGCUUUAUAUAUUUAUUUUUUUUGUGAUUCAGCAAUCCCAAAGUUUCUUUUUUUUUUUUUUCAAAUCAAAAUCAAAAAAGAAAUAAAUCAAAAAUAAUCUUCUUUUUUGAUUUUCGUACUCUUUCAUACCAUAAAUCUUGUUAAUUGUUAAUUGUUAAGAACCUUUCGGCGUGAAAAAGGUGUGUGGCGCUGCAAUAGGCCUCCGAUAGGUAAGAUAAACUCGGAAUACCCC